RNAcentral lists this ribosomal RNA (425 nucleotides) under uncultured bacterium. RNAcentral describes it as "partial 16S ribosomal RNA". It matches the Rfam family "Bacterial small subunit ribosomal RNA", at positions 354 to 796 of the family's 1533-position model. The record is from RNAcentral.
GUGGGGAAUCUUGCGCAAUGGGCGAAAGCCUGACGCAGCCAUGCCGCGUGAAUGAUGAAGGUCUUAGGAUUGUAAAAUUCUUUCACCGGGGACGAUAAUGACGGUACCCGGAGAAGAAGCCCCGGCUAACUUCGUGCCAGCAGCCGCGGUAAUACGAAGGGGGCUAGCGUUGCUCGGAAUUACUGGGCGUAAAGGGCGCGUAGGCGGACAUUUAAGUCAGAGGUGAAAGCCCAGGGCUCAACCUUGGAAUUGCCUUUGAUACUGGAUGUCUUGAGUUCGGGAGAGGUGAGUGGAAUGCCGAGUGUAGAGGUGAAAUUCGUAGAUAUUCGGCGGAACACCAGUGGCGAAGGCGACUCACUGGCCCGAUACUGACGCUGAGGCGCGAAAGCGUGGGGAGCAAACAGGAUUAGAAACCCCAGUAGUCC